AGGGCGCGCGGUGGAUGUCUUGGCGUCCAGAGGCGAUGAAAGACGUUGGAACCUGCGAUAAGCCCAAGGGAGCCGGUAACCAGGCUGUGAUCUUGGGAUUUCUGAAUGGGGAAACCCACCCGCAAGGGUACGUUCACCUGAAUGCAUAGGGUGAACGAGCGAACGUGGAGAACUGAAACAUCUUAGUAUCCACAGGAAAAGGAAGCAACAGCGAUUCCGUCAGUAGCGGCGAGCGAACGCGGAGCACUCAACAGAACAGAAGAACCGGCUGGAAUGCCGGGCCUUAGAAGGUGAAAGCCCUGUAUCUGGAAGUUGAGGUGCCUUCAAGUAAAAUCGGGCUCGUGAAACCCGGUUUGAACAUGGGGGGUCCAUCCUCCAAGGCUAAAUACUCCUGGACGACCGAUAGCAAAUCAGUAAGGCGACUGAAAGAUUAAAAGCACCCCGACGAGGGGAGUGAAAGAGUACCUGAAACCGCGCGCUUACAAGCGGUGGGAGUCCUUCGGGAUGACCGCGUGCUUUUUGCAUAAUGAGCCGGCGAGUUGGUCUGUACGGCGAGCCUAAGUCCUAACGGGACGGAGGCGGAGCGAAAGCGAGUCUGAAUAGGGCGUUGAGUCGUACGGGCCAGACGCGAAACCUUGUGAUCAACGCUUGAGCAGAUUGAAGUGCGGGUAAAACCGCAUGGAGGAUCGAACGCGUGACCGUUGAAAAGGUCUGCGAUGACUUGAGCGGAGGAUUAAAAGUAUAAUCAAACUGGGAGAUAGCUCGUUCUCUCCGAAAUAACUUUAGGGUUAGCCUCGACGGGCAAGCGAUGGGGGUAGAGCUACUGGAUGAACUUUGGGGUCUACCCGACUACCGGGUUCAACCAAACUCCGAAUACCAUCGCCCAAGCGUCGGGAGAUAGACGGCGAGCGACAAUGUCCGUCGUCAAGAGGAGAACAAUCCUGAUCGCCAGCUAAGGCCCCGAAUCUAUGCUCAGUUCGAAAGGAAGUCAGAUUGCAAAGACAGCCAGGAUGUUGGCUUAGAAGCAGCCACCAUUUAAAGAGUGCGUAAUAGCUCACUGGUCGAGGAAUCUGGCGCCGAUAAUGAUCGGGAAUAAGCAUAGAGCCGAAGCUGCGGGCUCACCUCACGGUGAGCGGUAGGAGAGCGUACUUGACAGCAGCGAAGCGGGAGGGCAACCGACCGUGGAGCGUCAAGUAGUGCAUAUGCCGGCUUAAGUAACGAUUAACACGGUGAAAAUCCGUGUCGCCAUAAGUGCAAGGGUUCCUGGGGAAGGUAAAUCCGCCCAGGGUUAGCCGGGUCCUAAGGCGAGGCCGAAAGGCGUAGUCGAUGGAAAACUGGUCAAUAUUCCAGUGCCAAUACCCACCAAAGAGACGGAGCUCCGGACUCUGCGGGACUGUCAGAUGUCCAGGCCCUUGAGGCCGAUGCAGGGAAAGGGGCUUCCUAGAAAAUCUGGGUGAGCCCGUACCAAAACUGACACAGGUGCACGAGGCGAAUAGCCUAAGGCGCUCGAGAGAACGGUCGUGAAGGAACUAGGCAAUUUAACUCCGUAAGUUCGCGAUAAGGAGGGCCUACUCUCGCAAGAGAGAGGCCGCAGAGAAAAGGAUCUGGGAACUGUUUAUCAAAAACACAGCUCUGUGCUAACUCGCAAGAGGAUGUAUACAGAGUGACGCUUGCUCAAUGCCGGAAUGUCACGGGAGCGGGUCAUCGAAAGAGAAGCUCGCGACUCAAGCACCGGUGAAUAGCGGCCGUAACUAUGACGGUCCUAAGGUAGCGAAGUUCCUUGUCGGGUAAGUUCCGACGCGCAUGAAUAGCGUAAUCACUGGAUCCCUGUCUCCACGACCGACUCGGUGAAAUAGUAGUGGCGGUGAAGAUGCCGUCUACCCGCAGCAAGACGGAAAGACCCCGUGGACCUUUACUAUAGGUUUCUACUGGACACGAGCAUAAACUGCGUAGCAUAGGUGGGACCCUUUGAAGUGCCUGUUUCGGCGGGCAUGGAGGGAACAAGUGAAAUACCACCCUGUUUGCGUUUGUGUCCUAACGCUGAUUCCCAUGAAACUGGGCAGCGGACAAUGGGAGCUGGGUAGUUUGACUGGGGCGGUCUCCUCCCAAAGUGUAACGGAGGAGUGCAAAGGUCGGCUCAUCACGGAUGGAAACCGUGUGAAGAGUGCAAGCGCACAAGCCGGCUUUACUGUGAGACCGACGGGUCGAACAGUUGCGAAAGCAGGCGCUAGUGAUCCUGCGGUCCCGUAUGGAAGGGCCGUAGCUCAUCGGAUAAAAGGUACCCCGGGGAUAACAGGCUGAUCGCGCCCGAGCGUCCAUAGCGGCGGCGCGGUUUGGCACCUCGAUGUCGGCUCAUCACAUCCUGGGGCUGAAGGCGGUCCCAAGGGUUCGGCUGUUCGCCGAUUAAAGUGGUACGCGAGCUGGGUUCAGACCGGCGUGAGCCAGGUCGGUCCCUAUCUGCUGUGGGCGUUCCAAGCUUGAGAGGAGUCAACUUUAGUACGAGAGGAUUGGGUUGGACGAACCCCUGGUGAUCCAAUUGGACUGCUAAGUCCACAGUUGGGUAGCUACGUUCGGCAGGGAUAAAAGCUGAAAGCAUCUAAGCUUGAAGCCCCCCUCGAGAUGAGGCUUGGUUGUCGCAAGACGAAAGACCCCUGGAAGACCACCAGGUUGAUCGGCCGCAGGUGUAAGGACAGUAAUGUCUUCAGCCGAGCGGUACGAACGGUCGAAGGCUUGACC
RNAcentral lists this ribosomal RNA (2736 nucleotides) under activated sludge metagenome. RNAcentral describes it as "bacterial LSU rRNA". It matches the Rfam family "Bacterial large subunit ribosomal RNA". The record is from RNAcentral.